CCAUAGCUCAAUUGGAUAGAGCGUUUGACUACGGAUCAAGAGGUUGAGGGUUCAAGUCCUUCUGGGC
Molecule: transfer RNA, 67 nt
Filed under: fish gut metagenome
Also listed under: 1 other name
Rfam family: tRNA
About the family: Transfer RNA (tRNA) molecules are approximately 80 nucleotides in length. Their secondary structure includes four short double-helical elements and three loops (D, anti-codon, and T loops).
Source: RNAcentral